UGGGGAAUUUUGGACAAUGGGCGAAAGCCUGAUCCAGCAAUGCCGCGUGUGUGAAGAAGGCCUUCGGGUUGUAAAGCACUUUUGUCCGGAAAGAAAUCCUUGGCUCUAAUACAGUCGGGGGAUGACGGUACCGGAAGAAUAAGCACCGGCUAACUACGUGCCAGCAGCCGCGGUAAUACGUAGGGUGCAAGCGUUAAUCGGAAUUACUGGGCGUAAGCGUGCGCAGGCGGUUUGCUAAGACCGAUGUGAAAUCCCGGGCUCAACCUGGGAACUGCAUUGGUGACUGGCAGGCUAGAGUAUGGCAGAGGGGGGUAGAAUUCCACGUGUAGCAGUGAAAUGCGUAGAGAUGUGGAGGAAUACCGAUGGCGAAGGCAGCCCCCUGGGCCAAUACUGACGCUCAUGCACGAAAGCGUGGGGAGCAAACAGGAUUAGAUACCCUGGUAGUCCACGCCCUAAACGAUGUCAACUAGUUGUUGGGGAUUCAUUUCCUUAGUAACGUAGCUAACGCGUGAAGUUGACCGCCUGGGGAGUACGGUCGCAAGAUUAAAACUUAAAGGAAUUGACGGGGUCAUAGCUGUUUCCU
RNAcentral lists this ribosomal RNA (583 nucleotides) under uncultured bacterium. Its description in RNAcentral is "partial 16S ribosomal RNA". It matches the Rfam family "Bacterial small subunit ribosomal RNA", at positions 355 to 1375 of the family's 1533-position model. The record is from RNAcentral.